CGGGAAGUAGCUCAGCUUGGUAGAGCGCCACGUUCGGGACGUGGAGGUCGUAGGUUCGAAUCCUGUUUUCCCGA
This 74-nucleotide transfer RNA is filed under the name Candidatus Ligilactobacillus excrementipullorum. RNAcentral's name for it is "tRNA-Pro". It matches the Rfam family "tRNA". From Rfam's summary of the family: Transfer RNA (tRNA) molecules are approximately 80 nucleotides in length. Their secondary structure includes four short double-helical elements and three loops (D, anti-codon, and T loops). Lineage: Bacteria; Bacillati; Bacillota; Bacilli; Lactobacillales; Lactobacillaceae. The record is from RNAcentral.